This 312-nucleotide ribosomal RNA is filed under the name Triticum aestivum (bread wheat). RNAcentral's name for it is "partial small subunit ribosomal RNA". The record is from RNAcentral. Lineage: Eukaryota; Viridiplantae; Streptophyta; Magnoliopsida; Poales; Poaceae.
AUGAAUGCACAAAACAAAAAAGACAGCAACCAGAUAAUCAAGCUGUGGAAUUAUUUAGAGCCAUGCCGCAUACACACGGAGGCGAGCCCUCUACAGCCUCAAGGUUUAAAACAGACUUCACUCGACAAAGCAAAUUCACACGCUCGCAAUGCAUCCAAGUAUACACAUGGCUGGAAACUAAGCAACACAAUAUACUACCUACUACUUUGCCAAGAUAAUCAAGUUGUGGAGUUAUUUAGAUCCACGCCCAUGUUCUCAGGAGUAUUAUGCAUUCACAUGUCCUCAAGGUUUAAAUCAGACUUCACUCGAUGA